This 380-nucleotide ribosomal RNA is filed under the name uncultured phototrophic eukaryote. Its description in RNAcentral is "SSU rRNA". It matches the Rfam family "Bacterial small subunit ribosomal RNA", at positions 376 to 770 of the family's 1533-position model. The record is from RNAcentral.
CGAAAGCCUGACGGAGCAAUACCGCGUGAGGGAUGACGGCCUUUGGGUUGUAAACCUCUUUUUUCAAGGAGGAAGUUCUGACGUGUACUUGAAGAAUAAGCAUCGGCUAACUCCGUGCCAGCAGCCGCGGUAAGACGGAGGAUGCAAGUGUUAUCCGGAAUUAUUGGGCGUAAAGCGUCUGUAGGUUGCCUAGCAAGUCUAUUGUUAAAGGUUAAAGCUUAACUUUAAAACUGCAGUAGAAACUGUUGGGCUUGAGUAUAGUUGAAGUAAGGGGAAUUUCCAGUGAAGCGGUGAAAUGCGUAGAUAUUGGAAGGAACACCAAUGGCGAAAGCACUUUACUAGACUUUUACUGACACUCAGAGACGAAAGCUAGGGUAGCA